CCCCAUUGAAAUACUUCUCAACCAUCCUAUUUGGUACACCCUCGUCAAAAAUAAAGUCAUACCUAUUUGACACACAAUUCAAUCCAGUUAUGUUAGCAAAUUCCCUGGGAAUAAAAUUAAGAAAGGUCUCAUUAGCACAAAUCAGAAUCCCAGAAGAAGAACUACCUUUCACCUCAAGCGUCAUAACGCAUCUGCAAAACUGUGCUUGCACUACACAUUGUUGCUUCUUCAUAAAAUAACCAAAAAUAUUUUUAUCGCAAAAGUUUUUAAACUGUUCCUUGUUUAAAAUUGCGCGUAUGCUUCCAUAAAUAUCUUUGUCACUAUAAGAACACAUGUGUGGUGCAAAUCUUGGAUGUUUUCUGACAAUGAAUAUUUCAUCCCGCAUCACCUAUACAAAGAAUCAUAUAACAUGCAGCCAAAAAAUCAAGCAGCCAAUAAAAAUUAAAAACAUAUAACAGGCAUAUGUAUUUUUAUCAUAUCAAAACUGCAACCAACACUGAAAAAUAUAUAUCAAAUAUACUAAAAAUACAUAUAUUCAAUAGAUUGUUCUGGUAUUUAAGCUAAAAUUAACAUGCAUAUGUAUUUUUAUCAUAUCAAAACUGCAACCAACACUGAAAAAUACAUAUCAUAUGUACUAAAAAUACAUAUAUCCAACAGACUGAUGUAGUAUUUCAAGUAAAAUUAACAUGCAUAUGUAUUUCUUACCAUAUCAAAACUGCAACCAACACUGAAAAAUACAAAUCAUUUAUGCUAAAAAAUACAUAUAGCAAAUAUAUUCUUCAUGAGUAGUUAAUACAACAAUAUAUUUUCCCAAUUAUACUAUCAUCUUCACAAAUCAACAUUCAAUCACCAAAUAUCAUCAUAACACCAAAAUACAUAUUAACUACAUCAAAAAAAAUACAUAUAACUUACAACUUUAACAACAUCUUUACUUGGGGCAAAAUAUAUAUUACUCAAAAAAUACAUUUAGAACCAAAAAAUACCUCUUCCUCGCUAACAUCUUCAGAAUCAUCAUCAAAAGAGAUUUGAACAUCCUCAUCAACCUUAGUCAAACCUUCAAUUUCUUUCGCUUUUCUUUUAUUCUCGAUUUUUUUAAUUUUUUUUCCUUCUGAGAAGGCGAUGUCUUCAACGGUUUUUUUUUCAAAAAAAUUUUCAUCUUCAGCGGAUCGUUGCGGAACUUCGACCUAAUCUCCUCCGAUUUCUUAGAUUUCUUCGACUGUAAAGAAUUUGAAACAACUUUAACUACAUCUUCUUGAGUUAACCCUAGACUAAAAGAUGGUCCACAAUCAUAGACUAAAUUUAAAUUACUUAUACCACUAUUUGUUCAUAAUUUUGGUGUUUGUUCAGCCAUUAAAAUCAAAAACCUUAAAUUCUGAUUUUGAGAUAUAUUAGAGUUUGCUAAUUCUGAAAUUUACCCAAAAAAAAAAUGCUAACAUGUAAUAGCUAAAUUAAGAGUUACCUGAAAUAGAUGAAGAUAAUCUUUACUGAUGAUGCUAAAAUCGUGCAAAGUGAAAAAAAAUGGGAGCGAAAAGAUAUACUUUAGGGCGAAAAAAAUGGCAAAAAAUCUUUCAAAAGAAUGAAAGAGAAAGCUAAUGGUGUGAAAAGAGAAAAAACUUACAGUUACUUCUCCAAGUGGAUAAAAAGUAGGGACCACAUAAAAUAAUGUUAUGGAUGUUACAAAAUGUAAUUUAAUAAAAUUGUUGUUAUUUUUUUUAAUUUCAUGCUAAAGUUUGAUACUUUAUGUAUUUUACCCAUUACUAAAUAGGAAAGUAAAUUACUUCUAACAUUUUGACUCUAGAACUUUCACCUUCUCAUCUUCUUUCUUAAAUUUCCAUCUAGUUUUCUCCGUUGAUUUUGUUAAUUUUUUUACAAUUCAAAAUUUAAUAUUAGUUAUUAUGCUUUCUAAGUUAGCUUCUUGAUGAGAAAUAGAGGAUGUUAAUUUUUUCAUAUAUUUAAGCAUGUGAAUUGUUGUCUGAGCAUUUGAAUUGGACCUUCAUUCAGGUUUGUAGAAUAAUCAAAUAACUGAAAGGUAUAGAAAACAACCUACUAAGACAAGUAAAUUUCUCCAUAGAUUCAUUACCCUAUAUGUAUAAAAUAUAGAAAGUUAAACUUCAAAAAGAAUUACUUAGUUCAUCAAAAAAUUUAUCCAAUAUUUUACAGGUGAGGGCAAGAAAGACAGAGGAGCAACUGAGGAAAGCAAUAAUCUUCCUAUGAGCAUCAGACUUAGAUCAACUAAUCUUAUGAUGAACCUAAGACCGUCAGUUGGAAUAGAGGUGAUGACAUCCAUUUCAAUCUUAAUUAGAUCAAUUUACUUGUAUGAGUAUGUGAAUUGUUGGAAAGAUAUUGAGGUUUAUAUCUGUGUAUUUCAAUCAUCUUGAUUUAGCAAGCUCGUAGAAAUUUUCUCUGAGAAAAUAUGUCUUUAUUGUAUUUGAUACAUCAGGUAAUUUGUUUGAUCUGCUUUGCAUAUCGAAGUUGUAAAUAUUUCUUUUGGUUUGGCUGAUUCUGUCUUAAAUGGGUGUCUUAUUAGAAAUAAGACAUCCAUUUUCAAUUAGAAAGAUAAUUACAAAAAAUAUUUCUUUUGAUUUGGUUGAUUCUGUUAUAAAUGGGUGUCUUAUAAUGCAGAAUUAUUAUUAAAUGGACGAAAAAUUCUUGAUUAUAGAGUAUUUUUUAUUCUUGCUUAUGUGAAAUGCCGGAUUUGAUUUUAAAUUAAAUGUUUGGUUUUACAUUUAUAGUUGAAGAAGUAAUUUUAUUUUAGAACAAAAAAAUUCAAAAUUUGGACGUGAAUUUGUUUAAUUGGUAGCUUUGGAAAACUCGUGAUUGUUUUGCAGAUGUGAAUUGCAAGCUAGAGAGAAAUGAUAAUGGUUCCUACAUAGUUAGGAUAUCUGUCACUUCCAUCAUUGUUGUGGCAGAGUUGAGAAGGCCAUUGGCGCUGCUUAUGAGAGGCAAGAUUGUGCAACACAUGGAUAUCACUCCUACGGUUGUUAAACUUAUGUUCUAUCGAGAACGAAUUAACACUAUGAGGACAGUUCAUAGGGAGACAGGAUCCUAUAUUCAUCUUGACAAGCAUAGCUUGCAUGUUAGAAUUUUUGGUUCUUCAGACAAUGUUGAUAGGGCUGAACAGAGAUUUAUUAACUCCCUUUUGGCACUAUAUGAAAGUAAACAACUUGAGGUGCAUCUUCGUGGAGGACUUUUGCCUCCUGACCAGAUGAAAAGAAAUGUUAUAACAUUUGGACCAAAUCUUAGUGUGCUUAAAGAAAAGGUGCCUAAGACAAAGUUUUCUCUGAACACAAAGCACCAUUGCAUAUGUAUCAAUGGUACUAAAGAUAUGAAGCAAAGCGUUAAGGACAUAAUCUAUUAAAUUGCGCAGAGCAGUUUUCCAACUCAAACGACGGGAGAUAAGGCUCACUGUGUUGUUUGCUUGUGUGAACUGGAGGAUCCUUAUAGACUUAAAGCUUGUACCCAUGCAUUCUGUCGCUCAUGCUUGCUAGAGCAGUGCGAGUCUGCAAUCAAAAGCCAAAAAGGUUUCCUCAUGUGUUGUUUGCGUUCUGGUUUUGGGGAACCUUUUUUGCUUGUUGAUUUGAAGUCUCUAUUAUCAACUGCGAAGUUAGAAGAACUUUUCAGGGCUUCCUUGAGAUCUUUUGUGACAACCAAUGCAGGUACUUACCAAUUUUUCCCCUCACCAGACUGCCCUUCAACUUAUCGCAUUGCAGUUUCUGAUAUGGAGUUUGGUGCAUCAUUUGUCUGUGAUGCAUGCUAUGGAAGCAUGAACGACAGAAUACAUAUGAUAAACUAAAAGGCAGUCUGGUGAGGGUAAAAAGCGGUGAGUACCUGCAUUGGCUGUCAUAAAGCUCCCAGGGAAGCCCUAAUAAGUUCAUCCAACUUCUCAGUUGACAAUAGAGACUUCAAAUCAGCAAACAAAAAGGGUUCCCCACAACCAGAAUGCAAACAACACAUGGGGAAACCAUCUCAUAUUUUGAUCGCAGGCUCACAUUGCUCUAGCAAGCAUGAACGACAGAAUGCAUGGGUAUAAGCUUCGAGUCUAUAAGGAUCCUCCAGUUCACACAAGCAAACAACACAGUGAGCCUUAUCUCCUGUCGUUUGAGUUGGAAACUGCGCUGCACAAUUUAAGAGAUUAUAUCCUCAACGCUUUACUUUAUGACUUUACUACCAUUGAUACAGAUGCAACGGCACUUUGUGUUCAGAGAAAACUCUGCCCCAGGCACCUUUUCUUUAAGUACACUAAGAUUUGGUCUAAAUGUUAUAACGACUCUUUAAUCAGGUCAGGAGGCAAAAGUCCUCCACGAAGAUGCACCUCAAGUUGUUUACUUUCAUGUAGUGCCAGAAAGGAGUCAAUAAAUCUUUGUGCAGCCCUAUUAACAUUGUCUGAAGAUCCAAAAAUUUUAACAUGCAAGUUAUGCUUGUCAAGAUGAAUAUAGGAUCCCGUCUCCCCAUGAACUGUCCUCCUAAUGUUAAUUCGUUCUCGAGAGAACAGAAGUUUAACAACCGUCGAAGUGAUAUCCACGUGUUGCACAAUCUUGCCUCUCAUAAGCAACUCCAAUGGCCUUCUCAACUCUUCCACAACAAUGGUGGAAGUGGCAGAUAUCCUAACUAUAUAGGAACCAUUAUCAUUUCUCUCUAGCUUGCAAUUCACAUCUGCAAAAUAAUCACGAGUUUCCCUGAGCUACCAAUUAAACAAAUUCACUUCUAAAUUCUGAAUUUUUUUGUUCUGAAAUAAAAUCACCUCAUAAACUAUAAAUCCAAAACAGAAAAUUUAAUUUAAAACCAAAUUCGGUACUUCACAUAAAUAAGUUCAUGAAUGAGAAGAGUACUAAUAAUAAGUCAUUAAUUGUUAUUAUAAUAAAAGUCAUUAAUAAAAAUAGAAUAUAAAACAAAAAAAUAGAAAAAAACUAAAAACUCAUCAUCUUGUCUAUGACCUUCCUUUAUAUAAUAUAUAGAUUGAUAUACACUUAAAUAGGCAAAAUUUUAAUUAUAUUCUUAAAUAUUAGAGCUAUUUCUUAAACAUGUGUAAUGAGAUAUAAAGGGGAGAAAUAGGAAGUUUUUUCUAAUAUUUGGGUGAAGGGUCUUCCUUUUAAGAUUAUUUUCUUUUUCUGGUGGGCUUGGAAAGGGAGAAUUGCCACUUAAGACAAUUUGAUAAGGGAAAGGAUCAAUAUAGUAUCUAAGUGUUGGUGUUGUGAUACAACACAUCAGAAAAUCAUGGGUCACUUAUUUCUAACAGCUCCCAUAACUCAAAGGCUAUGGAAGCAUUUUGCAAUUUGUGCAAAUGUGGAGACAGAGCCAAGAAAUCUGAUGCAAGCAAUAACAAAUUGGUGGACAUUCAACGAAUCAAGAAAACUACUCAAAGUUUAUAAAGACAUUCCAACUUUGAUUUUUUGGGAGUUCUGGAAGAGAAGAAACAGUAUCAAACAUGGAGGACAACAAUCAUUUGAAGGAACGGUGCAGCAGAUAGAGACAAGCGUUCAAAGAAUCGUCACAAUGAUGUCACCUAGGAUUCAAGUGAUAGAGAAAACUUGGAUGGAAAUGGUGAAUAUUUUAGGUGCAUAUAAGCCUACAAUAUAUCAUCAUAUAGUAUACUAGAAUUUCCCAAAGAAAGAUAAAGUUAAAUGUAACACAGAUGGUGCAAGCAAAGAAAAUUCAGGAGAAAGUGCAUAUGAAUUCGGUAUAAGAGAUGAAAAAGGUGAUCUAAUAUAUACGCAAGCUAGGGGAAUAGGUUAUGCAACAAACAUGAAAGCGGAAGCAACAACAAUUUAUGAAGCUUUAAAAAUCAAUGAAACUAUGAAAUUCCAUCAAAUGGAUUUGGAAACAGAUUCAUUAGCUCUUAAGAAAAUAAUAUUGAGAGAAUGAAAAGUUCCAUGACAACUAGCAAAUAUAAUGGAUAUAAUUUUCAGUGAAGUCAGUAAACAAGUAGUUUAAAUAAGACACAUAUUCAGAGAAGACAAUCAGAUGGCUGACUAUCUAGCCAAUCUUGCAAUCAGCAGCACACAGAAACAAGAGUACAAACAGUUUAAAGAGCUGCCAGUCAUAGGUAGGAAAAUCAUCAACAUAGAAAAAGCACAUAUUCCUACAUUAAGGUUAAGAACCAGGAGGAUUAAGUUACAUGAAGAUACAUCAUAAUCAAAGAAGCAAACAAGAGAAGCAGAUAAGAAGUAGACAUACCUACAUGACAGUAUGCCCUUUUAGAGUCACUAUAGCUGAUCAAAUAAGAGUUUGGCUAAUCACCGUAAACACACAAAAAUGGUCACCAAAAAUUCAGAGGUACAAUGUCAUCUUGGUCAACAUUCAGGCGCGGUAGCAUCAUCUUGGUCAACAUUCAGGCACCAUGGUCGACAUGGAAACCUAUGGGAUGGAUGAAACUUCAAAAUGGAUACCACUUGGUGAUGGACAACUCAUUCCUUCUAAGAAUAACAAGCAUUGGUCAGAAAAUGAGCAACAUCGCAAAGGGAGGAGUAAGAUGGAAACACACCCACAGAAGGAGGUGACGGAGCUGGAGGUUCCGAUGGCUGCUGGAUGGG
Molecule: long non-coding RNA, 6530 nt
Filed under: Capsicum annuum
Lineage: Eukaryota; Viridiplantae; Streptophyta; Magnoliopsida; Solanales; Solanaceae
Description: long non-coding RNA (CANN_LNC009220)
Source: RNAcentral